AUGGCUCAGAUUGAACGCUGGCGGCAGGCUUAACACAUGCAAGUCGAACGGUAGCGGGAAGAAAGCUUGCUUUCUUUGCCGACGAGUGGCGG
This 92-nucleotide ribosomal RNA is filed under the name Basfia succiniciproducens. Its description in RNAcentral is "16S rRNA. Bacterial SSU". The record is from RNAcentral. Lineage: Bacteria; Pseudomonadati; Pseudomonadota; Gammaproteobacteria; Pasteurellales; Pasteurellaceae.